This 253-nucleotide ribosomal RNA is filed under the name uncultured bacterium. Its description in RNAcentral is "partial 16S ribosomal RNA". It matches the Rfam family "Bacterial small subunit ribosomal RNA", at positions 524 to 776 of the family's 1533-position model. The record is from RNAcentral.
UACGUAGGGACCGAGCGUUGUCCGGAUUCAUUGGGCGUAAAGAGCUCGUAGGCGGCCACUCAAGUCGAAUGUGAAACCUCGAGGCUUAACCUCGAGCCUGCAUUCGAUACUGGGCGGCUAGAGUCUGGUAGGGGGAUCUGGAAUUCCUGGUGUAGCGGUGGAAUGCGCAGAUAUCAGGAGGAAUACCGAUGGCGAAGGCAGGUCUCUGGGCUGACACUGACGCUCAUGCACGAAAGCGUGGGGAGCAAACAGG